Homo sapiens (human) is the source of this 1670-nucleotide long non-coding RNA. Ensembl annotates it as TFIP11 divergent transcript. Its record names the gene TFIP11-DT. NCBI's taxonomy places the organism in Eukaryota, Metazoa, Chordata, Mammalia, Primates, Hominidae. The record is from Ensembl.
GCUGGCUGCCAGGGCAGCGUGGGACGCUACGGCGGAUAUGGCUGCAGAGCGGCCGGCUGGGAUCUUAGAUAGGAGGGGUGGAUUUGCAAGGCCUAGAAUAGCUGGGGAGUGGUUUCCCCGCGGAAUCGGCCUCCCUGCCGCUCCUGCUUUGUACUGUGACGCUCAGCCUGUGAUGACUGGUGUGGAAUCCGCUGAGCCACCUUGGCCUAAGGAGACUUUACCACUCUGAGAUUGUAAAUCUGUAAAAUAGAGAUGUAGGAUUAGCCCAUACGGUAGUUGUGGUAAAUACUGUGAGACAAUAAGGGGCCUGGGACACAGCAUUCAAAUGGGAAUAAUGAAGGUCAAGACUGUGAUUCCUGUAUCUUUGACGCUCUCGGUAUAAGCACCGUCGUGGGCACAGGGCAGUGGCCUUUAUGCAGGAGUUUAAGAGGGAAUGAAGGAAUGAAUGGGCAAACUCUGGAGUUCCCAAGUAUUCUCUCCAGGAGCUGUUUCCAUUCUUUUCGUUUCCAGCAGAUUCAAGAGGCAAUUGUUGGAAUGUAAAAAGAGCACGGGACUUGGAGUCAAAUACUUAAGUCUACCAUCAAGUAGUUGUUAAGAAUUAAACAACAAUUUUUGUGUACCCAGUUAAAUGUGGGCUGCUUAGGAAUGAUGACUGUGUCUUAAUGAUCUCUGUAUUCUUAGUGACAUGUAGAAUCAUUGUGCCUGACACAUAGUAUGUACUCAGGAAAGAAAUGGAAAAUGUGGUUUUAGCAUUGAAGGCCGGGAGAGAGGGUCUAACAGACUACAAGCCCUGCCAGGAGCAGAGUAAGGGAAACAGAGGAGAAAAGUGUUUUUAGUCUGUGCCUGAAUGUAUUUACAUCUGUUUGUAGCCCAAAAGCCAAAAGCAUACAUACGCUUGGCUUUUCUGUAGCUAUGUUUAUGGCUUUACAGCAGAUUUUAUGGAGCUGCAAUUACUUUGAUCAUGAGGGACUGAUGCUAGUGGAUUUACUUCACCAAAUGGAACUCACUUUGUGGCUUCUGAAGAAGGGACCUUUGUGGACUGUCAUGGAGUAGUUAAGAGUGCAGGCUCUGAUUUAGUGAUCAGAGUCUGCAUUGUCAGGAAUGGGACAAAGUGAAGUUAUGUGGCACUUGAUAGGAUGCCCUGAGAAGAUUGCAACAUCACCCCUGUGAUAUUCCUGCUGAAGAUCCAUAACCUGGAUGUAAUCAUGAGGAUAUAUCAGACAAACCCACGUAAAGAGACAUGCUGUAUACAAAACUGUAAUCUUAGAAAGUGCCAAGGUCAUGAAAAUCAAAGAUAGACCCUGGAACUGUUCCAAACUGGAGGGGACCAAAGAGGCAUGACAACUAAACACAACACAUGAUUCUGAACUGGAUCUUUUUGCUUGAAAGGAAGUUACAGGGACAGUUGGAAAAGUUUAAAUGGGGCCUACAAUGCCGUGGUAAUGAUGUGUCCGUGUUAAUUUCCUGAUUUUCAUGGUUGCCUGUUAAGUUACAUCAGAGGAUGUUCUUGUUUGCUGGAAAGUAAAUCAAUGUAUUUGGCAGGGGAUAAGGCAUCAAAUGGUCACCUUAAUUUCAAAUUAUUACAGGGAAAAUGUUUCUCUCUGUACUUAAUAACUUUUUUGCAAUUUCUUAAAAUGAAAGCUCUGGAGUAAAAACUUCAAGGAUCCAAA